Monodelphis domestica (gray short-tailed opossum) is the source of this 9434-nucleotide long non-coding RNA. RefSeq lists it as uncharacterized. Lineage: Eukaryota; Metazoa; Chordata; Mammalia; Didelphimorphia; Didelphidae. The record is from RefSeq and is a predicted model, not a curated record.
CAAAGUUGAUUUACCCCAUUUGUUAACACUCGCCCUUUACAAGGGAGAACUUAGUUGUCCAGAGGGGAAGUUAUUGGAAGAAUAACUGAUGAGGCCUAUCAGUAAUACCAAAAAAGGAUCUGCCAACAAAAAAGUGUCUUCACACUGAAAUCCCUGAGAGGUUUGUAAGCUAAUUGAAAUGUGGGCCUUGGAUACCCUGGUUGGGAUUUAUUCAUCUAAAAAAAGUGAAGAAAUGAAGAUCUUCUGAUGAUUCGGGCACUCUUUAACUCUAAGGACCCAGGUUUGGAGACUACUGGCAUCUUCUUUUUGGCAUUCAGCAAGAAUCUAAUCACUCAGCAUGCGAUACUCCUCUUCAGGGAAGAAGAGCCAGGGAAUCUCCAAAGGGUCCCAAAGCUGGGAAGGAUCCGAGACAAGGUCAAGCCUGACUCCGAGUGCCACACUCGUCCUACUCUACCACACUGGCUGUCAAGAAACUAAAAAAAUAUGCUUUGGAUUUUUUUCCCUAUCAAAAAUAUGAGGACGUCGAAGAGAGGACAUCUCUGGAGCUUUAACAAACAUUUAUGGCAGACCAGUGAGAUGUAGCCCUGAUUGCCGAUACCCACACCCAUCUCUGUUCCAGAAUUGAACCCUUCCUUACAUCAUUGAAAAACAGUUAACAAUGUAUGCAACAGUUCAUGCUUAUCAUACGCCACCUAUCUUCUGAGGAGAGCAGGGAGAUAUUUUUCAUUAUCUGUUCUUUCUUGUGUUCUUAUUAAAGACUGAGAAUAUAGGCAAUGCCAGCCUUUGGUGAAAGAAGAACGCUGGGACUUUUACUCUUGAACACAUCUAUUUUUACAGAUUUCAGCCCUUACAACCCCUAAAUCCAGUUGAUGAGGGGGUUGGUGAUGGGUAUAACUAAUCUAUUCGUUUGCAAAAAGAAACAAAGAUUUGAUUGAAUAUAGUCUUAAUUUAAAAUUACAUCUGCUUGGUGAAAAUGAAAAAAAGAAAGCCAGUCAAAUGGAACAUAGGAUACUACUAUUCUGGCCUCUUAAGUUAUAGGAAUUCUCCCUCCUCUAUUCCUAGCUUUCUGUCUUUCCAUUCCUUUUGUCUUCUUGGCUCUUAUCCCAAUGGGACAGCUUGUAAACCUUUUUUGGGACAUUGUCUCCAUUGAGUUGGUGAAUAUAUGCCAAGGAUUGAGCCUUCCUACUUCUGGGUGGGCCAAUAACAGCGUGCCCUGGGGAUGUGAAUUUGAAGAAAUUCCUUGGACACCACAGUGUUUCUAUGAAUAGAUGGACACUUUUAGAAGAUCCUAUGGCCCCCAGCUCCGGUGCUUUCCUUACUUUCCCAACAAGACAAGCCUAGCGUCUGAGAGGUUAGGAAAGACCAGGAGAGGAGACAUAUUAGGAGACAAGCUUCCUUGUGUGGGGACCCAAGUUUGGUGACCCUAGAGAAAAUGACUUCUGGCACUGUCCAUGAAUCACAAUGCUCCAUUUAUAAGUAGCAAUUAAUUUCAAGCAAAAUUUGUGCAUCCACCACUAACUGUCAAUUCAAGAGGUUGAAAGUUCAGCCCUGGGGAGGUCAGAAAGCCUUCCAAGAAUCUUGGCAUCUGGGGUCAGCUCUCCCUCCCCAUUGUUGCACACCAUGAAACAGGAAAGCCUUCUCCAUCGAAGAUGGUCAUGUUCCAAGAAUGAGAAGCCCUGCAAAACUGGAUGGCUCAGUGCAAAGCAGGGUCAUCACUGUGAUGGGCAUCAUGGCCAUUAACAUACCAGGCAUGCAUACGUACACAUUGUGGACCUACUUGCUUUGGCUCAAUAGGAAUUGUUUUCCCCUGACUUUGUUUAGAAUAAAAAUAGCCAUUUAUGAAAGGCUGAAUAAGAGACUUUAAAGAGAGACUGAUUUCAGCUAACAUUGGAAAGUUCAUCCAGUUUUCUUCCCAUUUUGACAUGACUUUGCAAAAUUAUAAAACCAGAUGGGCCCCCAAAAGGAACUGGCUUUUUCCAAAGCAAAAUGUGGAAAUGAUUCUUCUGAGAACCUAACAAAGGGCCUAUUUUGCCGUUAUAGACCAGAACCAGAAACAGGAAGAGGCUCCAAUUAACUAACUGAAGCACAAUAGGAGGUUAAUAAAUAAUGGAAUAAUUAUGACAAAGAUGAGAUAGCUUCCCCGUAUCAUUCAGGCAAUAUUCUGUCUUUCAGUGUGUGAAAAAUCUUUCAAAUUCUAGAGUGGGAAAACACACCUAUUUCUCUCACAACAGUUAAACUAUUCCCAUUCUUUUGUCUCUUUACCUUUUGUUUACCUUGGGACAACUGGUUGUUGUUGCUGUUGUUUAGUCAUGUCAGACUCUUCUUGACUCCAUGGACCAUAGCACACCUGGGGUUUUUCUUGCCAAGAAUACUAGAGUGGUUUGUCAUUUCCUUCUCCAGUGGAUUAAGGCAAGCAGUGGAUAAGUGACUUACCUAGAGUCACACAGCUAGGGAGUGUCAAAGUCCAGAAUUUAAUUCAGAUCUUCCUGCUUUAUUCUCUGAGCCACCUAGCUAUCUUUAGGGAUAACUGGUAGGAAGAGUGAUUAAGAUUCACAUUUCCCUGUUUGUUUUAUGUACAAUUAUAAAUCCAUAUUUGCCUUUAUUGUCUGUCUUAUUGUACUUAUGUGACCCUGGGCAAGUCAUUUACUUUCCUUGGGCCUCAAUUUCUUCAUCUGUAAAUUAGUGAGGAAAUUGGAUUAGAUGAGUCUAGUCCAGCUCUAGAUCUGUGAUUUCACUGAUCUUCUUUAGAAUAUCAAUUUGUCAUUAGAGGUAACUACAGACAAACUCUUGGAGCUUUGAUACCAAAAUUAGCAUUGGAGUGGUUUGCCUUGUCCUUCUCUAGCUCAUUUUACAGAUGAGGAAAUUGUGUCCAACAAGGUUAAGUUACUGACACAGGAUCAUACAGUUAGUAAGUGCCUGAGAUCAGACUUGAACUCAUUAAGAUGAGUCUUCUUGGUUCCAAGUCCAAGAUGACUACAUAACAAAACCAGGCAUUCUGAGUGGUUCUCUGCUAUUGCCCAAGAGGAUGGGUUGAAUUUCUCCUUUGAAGGCUCUGCCCUUCUUAGUAUCCAGGGCCUCCCCUUGACAUCUUCUGUGCCCUCCACCCUUGUCUACAAUGUGCCCCCAAGGACUUAGAUACUUCAAAUGAAAAAACAACUUUUUUAUCCUUGGUAAGAACUCAACUGACAAAUUAUGAAAAACAGUUGCCACACAAUGGGGAUACCUUUGUGAAUAUCCAAAGUUCUAUAAAGCUGGUAAUUUGGAAAUGCAAUCUAUUUACUUUAACUGGGCUCUGAUUUCCAUGGAAUCCAGGUUUUUAUAGGUUCUACCAGAAACUCAUUAAUUCACCCUCCUUUUUCCUCAAUUCAAUCCUAGUUCUCCAAAGACUACAGCAGCAACAUCCUUCUUGUCCCAAAUUUCCUCAUUUCCAGAUGAAAACUUUCUCAUCACUUCCCCCAGGAAUCCAGCUCAAUUCACUUCUCUAGAUUCUAUGCACAAGUUUUCUUUAAACUGAACUCUUCCUCUUCUGUCACUUAAGGGACACCUAGAUGGUACAGUGGAUAAAAUUCCAAGCUUGAAGUCAGGAAGACCCGAGUUCAAAUCUGUCUUGAGACACUGACUAGCUCUAUGUCCCUGGGCAAGUCACUCUAUUUAUCUCAAUUUCCUCGUCUGUAAAAUGGGGAUAAUAAGAGCACCAACCUUAAGGACUCGAUGGAUAGAGUGCUCUAAGCUUAGGAUCAGGAAGACUCAUCUAACUGAGUUAAAAUUUGGCUUUAGACACUUACUAUAUGUGUGACCCCAGGCAAGUCAUUUAACACUGUUUGCUUCAGUUUCCUCUUAUGUAAAGUGAACUGGAAAAGGAAAUGACAAGCCACUCUAGAAUCUUUGCCAAGAAAACCCCAAAUGUGGUCACAAAGACUCAGACACAUGAAAAAUAAACCAACUGAACAGCAACAAUAAACCCAGGAUUGUAGUGAGAACAGAAUGAGUUAACAACUGCAAACACUUAGCACAGCACUUGGCACACAGGCAGUACUACAUAAACAGUAGCUACUAUUACUUUUAGUAUCUCCUUCAUGAAACCUUCUGUUAUCUCUCUAGGCAAAGGAAGUUUCAGCCUCCUUAAAUUCUCCUAGCAAUUUGCUCGCACUUCCCUGAAGCACUUAGGCUGUUCUGUAUUAUAUUUCAUUUGUAGAUACACAUUGGGUUGUCAUUACUAGAUUAGAAGUACAGACUGCUUGUAUGUGUCCUCCACAGUGCCUAGCCUAGUGCCUUGCUCAACAAAGAUCUGGUGAAUGGAUAAAUGAAUGAACUAAAUAACCUUCAGUUAUCUGGAAUGUUAAUUUACACAAAUCAGCUUAUUGCCUAACUGGUAAGUGAGAUAUCAUCACUAUACUCCAUUGAUGGCUGAUGUAGGACAGUCCCAGGGAGCUUCUGAUGAUCCAGCAGGAUUCUGGGGACCUUGUGAGAUGUAGCUGGGGCUAAGUAAGCACAGGGAACCAGAAGAAGGCUAAAGAGACUCUUCUGAGAGUCAGAAGAAGGAAUGGCAGUUGCUUUGGGGGGAAAAAAAGCAGUUAUAUUCCUGCUUUUGGAAAUGCCUCAACAGAAAAGCAUCUGACUUGUCAUCUGUAGCAAAACCUGAGCAGCUUCAGCUGCUCUAUAAAUAGGUUGGGUUUUUACACCCUUUUUCCUGGCAUCUAACAAUUCUUUAGUGAGGAGAAAAAGGCUGUUUAUUCUCUCUUGAAUCUCAACAAUCCUUUACUAUGGAGAUAAUUCAGAACAUUUAAAACUAAGAAUGUUAUUUUUGUGAACCUGGGAAGCAUUUCUUUUCCAUAUAUGGCAUAACGGGUAGCUAGGAAGGGUCUUCUCUUUAUGUGUACACCAGUAUUCUUUGUAGUUAUCUACUAAGUACUAUCAUCAUUAGCACCAUCUUGUUCUCAUCUUUUUUUGAAUGGCAUUCAAACAGAAAUGAUUCUGGGGACCAAUCUCUCAUACUAUUGCAGGAUAUUUUUUAAAAAUUAAAGCUUAUUAAAGUUUUUUCUAAGCAAAUAAUUAUAGCUUCAAAUGUAUAUGCUUUCCUUAUCACACACUAGCAUAAGCUUGCUUUUAUUUUUUGAAAUAAAUUUAAAUUCUAUUUUUUAACAUGCAUUUUAAAAAUUUAAAUUUUUAUUUCUGAAGUCUCUUUAAUUCAUAUCCCACCCCCUUCCUCUUGAGGAAGGAAGGAAGGAAAGAAGGAAUGAAGGGAGGGAGGGAAGGAGGAUGACAGGACAUAGCUAGUUGAUGAUAGAGGGCCCAGGGCUAGAAUACAAAUCUAGAUGAUUAUUGAUUGAUGAACAAAAUAGUAACCUUGAGGCUCUUCAAGAUUCUCAGUUAGCUAAGUCUCAUAUUCAUUCAUUCAGUAUGUUCUAGUUUCUAAGUCAAAACCCUCAGAUGAACUAAUACUAAUUUUACAAACAUUUUCUGAGCAAGAGUUGAAGAGAAUGUUCCUCUUAAUCCUAAGCAAGGGAGAAAAUACUACUGUUCCAUUACUUAAGUAGUCCAAUUCCUUGAGCAUUUGGAAGAUUAACUAGCAUUAGGCCAUCAACUCAUUUGCACAGAUUACAGUAAGAUUGGGAGUAAAGAAGGGACUCCUAUCUCUGGAAAUGUGCCAUAUCUUUUCUCACUCUAAGAAAUGUGCUAUAGGAUAUGCCCAGAUUGGUGACAAAUCAUGAGUUAUACAAGUAAAAGGCUCUGUGCUGACAGAAGAAAAAGAAAAUGGAGCAAAGAGGAAGGUGGGAGCUAUGAACUAUGCUAUGGAAUAUAUCCACAAAUAUUCCAGUAAAACCUGGAAUGAUAUUAAAGUUAUCUGUAGAAUAAUUAGUUCAUUGUUCCUCCAUCCCACUUUGAGUUCAAGUUGGAGCAAUUUAGGUAGCUUGGCCUUGGCCUUAGCCUUGACCCAAGUUAAUCUUCCACUGAUAGUAGAGAAUGGAAAUAUUUCAGUUCUAUCCUCCACCAACCUAGUUUGUAUGCAUUGAGAUGAGUAGGAGAAAUGUCUAAUUAUAGCAAGACUUGAAAACGUUCAAGGCACUGGGAUCAUUUUGUGUUCUUAUGAUUAACAGUGGACUCACUCAGACUACUAAGUGAAAGAAGUCCAAAGCCGAGUGUCCUGUUGUUUAUUGUUUUGUCUGACUGCUGUAUUUGACUCUUUGUGACCCCCUUUGGGGUUUUCAUGGCAAAGACACUGGAGUGGUUUGCCAUUUCUUUCUCCAGAUCAUUUUACAGAUGAAACUGAGGCAAACAAAGUUAAGUGACUCACCCAGGGUCACACAGUGUCUGAGAUUGGAUUUACACUCAAGAAGAGCAGUCUUCCUGACUCCAGGCUCAGUGUUCCAUCCUCUGUGCAACUUAGCUCCCUCACCAACAAUAAAAUAUUGGCAAAUUGGCAAAGAUCAAAAGAUGGGAACUGCCAGUGUCAGAGAGGUUGUGGAAAGAUAGUCCCUUUCAAUAUACUUUUGAAGCUAUUCAUUGGUUCUACCAUUCUAGGAAGCAAUUUGGUAUUGUGCCAAGAAAGUCACUUAGAAUGUUCCAAACCAGAAACGUCAAACAUACCACCUAUGGCAUGAGGCUCCCUCCACACCCCCUAAUGAACAGAUUAAAAUGUUUAACAAAAUAAAUAAAAAUACCAUGUGACAUAUAUACUGUUAUUUCAUACUUUUCUAAGUCAUUUUACUGCCCACCGCGAUGUUUCUAUUGAAUCUGAUCCCAAUGGUCCAUACUCUGAUCCAGAGAUCACACUGAGCAAACACCCCAAAGAUGUUAAAGACAGAAAGAAAAGUCCCUUGUAUACACUAACCUAUUAAUAACCAUACUUUCUAUGGUAGUAAAUAACUGGUAAUAAAGUAAAUGCCUAUUGACUGGGGAAUGGCUGUGCAAAAAAUGUGGAUAAUGCAUGUAAUGAAAUAUUAAUGAGCUGUAAGAAAUGAUGAAUAUGAAGAAUUCAGAGAAGCAUGGGAAGUAAGGAUGAACUGAUGCACAAUGAAUGAAACAAAUAUAUAUUAUAGAUAUAUAAUACAUGUAUAUAUAAAACCCUGAGAUUAAACUUUGCAUUGCUAUAAUCUCCAAACUUGUUCCUGAAGAAAAGAUGAGAAAAUAUAGCUACCACUCUUCUUUGUAGGGCUGGGAGACUAUGGGAGUAGAACAUUCCAUAUACUAAAGACUCAAUUGAUAUGUUAAUGAGUUUUUUAAACUGUUUUUCCUCCAUUCUCUUUCUUUUGGUGAUGUAAAAACAACUAUAUAAAUGAAAAUCUUUAAAAUAUUCUGCUCUUUAGCAUUCUCAGGAGUUCAAGUCAUUGAGCUAAUAAUAAAAAUUGUAAAAGACCUUAUCUAUCAUUGCAGUGCAGAGGAAAGAAGUAGGUUCCAAAUGGAAGUCUCAUUUUCAAAAGACAUCUAAAAGCUAUCACUCCAUCCUCCUACCCAGAAAGAUAGGGAACUAGAUACUGGGGGGAACAAAGUCACUUUCCUACUAAAUCAAAACAUGGAGAGAGGCUGGUUGUCAAAUAAGCUCACAUCAGGCCAAAACACUGUAAAGGAAACCAGUAUGCUUUCCUAAGUGGGUAUGAGGUCCAUCAGGGUUAUAUUCCAGCUCCUGCGGAAGUUUCAUCUCUAUCACCUACCUGCCAGACUUCAGUGCACUUAACAGGACAAGCUUCUCACUAAUGAAGUUUGGCUUCUAAUUACCCUCCAGGCAUUGAUGCCCUACUCCUCACAGCAGCAGCCUCACUUGUCAUCUAAUGACAAUUGAUAGCACCAGAGUGGAAAAGCAACAGUUGCAGGGUGGAUGGAAUGGACAGCUGCAGCCUUGAUCAGCAGGGCAAGGAAAUGAAAAAUUGGCAAACAACACAGAGAAGAUGCCCCAACUGAAAGGUGAUGAGGCAAGGAUUUCAUUGUGACCUUAAGGAGGUUCAGGUUUCUGUUCUUAGUUUCAUGAUCCAAAGCAGCUAAAAAAGGAAUAAAUAUUUUUUUUCCUAAAAAUUCACAGAGAUGUAAAAAAGCAAGAUGACAGUAACUGAGGCAAAUGAGAAUUGUGUGAAUGGUUUCAGACUGUCUCUGAAGUCAGGAUUCCUAAAAUGAUACAGUUAUGACAGAUUUAGAAAAAGAUGCUGGAUUUCCAAGCUACUUUGUUUCCUAUUGGAACGUGGAUUCUUGCUCAGAGGCUCAGUGAGAUGGGGAAUUCAAGCCACUGAUUUGACCCCUACUGACUCUUGCUCUUCAAAAAUAAAAGGUAUAAAUCUUAGUCAUUUAUUGACAUAAUUUGCUGAUUAUCAGUGGGGUUUUUUUUUAACAUAAAGGUUUAUAGUGGUCAAUGAUUCAGCAAGAUCAGAAAUAUAUGUUGAAGAAAGGGGAAAGGUUUCAUAAAGGAAGGAAGGAAAUAAGCAUUUAUGAAGUGCCUAGUAUAUGUCGGGCACUUUGCACUAACAGGUAAGGUAGAUAAUGUAAUUUUCUCCAUUUGCAGUUGAGAGAAUUGAGGCCGACAGAAAUUAAGUGACUCAUUCAAGAUCAGAAACUGAGUAAGUAUCUGAGGCCAGAUUUGACCUGAGGUCCUCCUGCCUCCAUGUCUAGCACACUGCCCACACCUACUUGUCUAAAAAAGCUGGAGUCUAUUCUUCUACCCCUUCAUAUCUAAUAUAUUUGAGUCAAAGUCCAGCAACUCACUAUAACCUUAUGUGUUUCAAAAAAUAAUCUUCAUUGGGGCAGCUGAGUGGCUCAGUGGACUGAGAGCCAGGCCUACAGACUGGAUGUCCUGUGUUCAAAUCUGGCCUCAGAUACUUCUUACCUGUGUGACCUGGGCAAGUCACUUAAUCCCCAUUGCCUAGCCCUUACCACUCAUCUGCCUUGGAACCAACACACAGUUUUGAUUCUAAGAUGCAAGGUAAGGGUUUAAAUUUUUUACAUUAUAAAAUUAAUACUCAAAUAUUAAAUUUGAAUAUUAAAUUGAAGCUCACAUGAAACCAUAAAUUCUGACAGUUACAUUUUGAUUGAAUGAGGAAACCUUUGUUGUUGUUCAGUUGUGUCUGACCCUUUGAGAACUCAUUUGGAAUUUUCUUGGCAAAAAAUACUUAAGUCGUUUGCCAUAUUCUUCUCCAGCUCAUUUUAUAAAUGAGGAAACUGAGGCAAACAAAAUUAAGUGACUUGCCCAGAGUUAUAGAGUUAGUAAGAGUCUGAGGCCAGAUUUGAAUUCAGGAAGAUGAUUCUUCUUGACUCCAGGCCAGGGACUCUAUCCAACAACAUGUUCAACCAACCACGUUUCCCUAAACUCCCAUUUUUACUGUAGUCAAGUACUCUAAAGUUUCAUUCUGCAUCACUGUAGAAAUAUAUACUAAUGAGAUCACAGAUCUACUUGAGCAUAAUUAUCUUAAAUUUUUGCCAUUUCUUUUUAUUUUGGAAACAUUGUUUUU